This 76-nucleotide transfer RNA is filed under the name Opitutales bacterium. RNAcentral describes it as "tRNA-Phe". It matches the Rfam family "tRNA". Rfam says of the family: Transfer RNA (tRNA) molecules are approximately 80 nucleotides in length. Their secondary structure includes four short double-helical elements and three loops (D, anti-codon, and T loops). The record is from RNAcentral. Lineage: Bacteria; Pseudomonadati; Verrucomicrobiota; Opitutia; Opitutales. RNAcentral also lists the same sequence under 1 other name.
GGCGAGAUAGCUCAGUCGGUAGAGCAGAGGACUGAAAAUCCUUGUGUCCCCAGUUCGAUUCUGGGUCUCGCCACCA